Molecule: long non-coding RNA, 157 nt
Organism: Telopea speciosissima
Lineage: Eukaryota; Viridiplantae; Streptophyta; Magnoliopsida; Proteales; Proteaceae
Exons: 3
Source: RefSeq, a predicted model, not a curated record
GCCUUCAUGGCCAAUGGUGCAAGGAUCGAUCAUCCUUAAUAGAGGGGAAAGAAGGCACAGGAUGUCCACAACAUAUGCAUGACACUUGUGUAUUCUUUUGGAUAUGGAAACACUGCCUCAUAGCCUAUACUUGGAAUGGAAUCUGAUGUUAGCAACC